UACGAAGGGGGCUAGCGUUGCUCGGAAUCACUGGGCGUAAAGCGCGCGUAGGCGGGAGGCCAAGUCUGUGGUGAAAUCGCUCGGCUUAACUGGGCGGGGUCCAUGGAAACUGGUCACCUGGAGGUCGGUAGAGGCAAGUGGAAUUCCCGGUGUAGUGGUGAAAUGCGUAGAGAUCGGGAGGAACACCAGUGGCGAAGGCGGCUUGCUGGGCCGGACCUGACGCUGAUGCGCGAAGGCGUGGGGAGCGAACGGG
Molecule: ribosomal RNA, 253 nt
Filed under: uncultured bacterium
Lineage: Bacteria
Description: partial 16S ribosomal RNA
Rfam family: Bacterial small subunit ribosomal RNA
Source: RNAcentral